RNAcentral lists this long non-coding RNA (911 nucleotides) under Homo sapiens (human). Its description in RNAcentral is "HSALNT0357116". The record is from RNAcentral. Lineage: Eukaryota; Metazoa; Chordata; Mammalia; Primates; Hominidae.
CCUCCCUUUUGCCCUUUGUGAAUAUGGAGAACAGUUGCUUGACAAUUUUCUCAUUUAACAACAAUUACGUUUUUAGAUACCUAAAUGAUGUUAAGGCAGCUCUUUAAAACAUUGCUUUGCUGAAGCAACCUCAUUCUUCCAGUGGUAGAGAACAUAAUUCCGUAUAUUUGUGGGGGUGGUUGGGUGUGGAAUGACCAAAGCUUUAUUUCGGAAGUUCUCUGUCACUGAAAGUGCCCUGAUAGAAAUAAAGCACUUAAUGAGGUCUUGGACAGGUGCUGCCCGCCCAGCAUUCUUGCUGAAACUCUCCCUGUGCGUCACUGGCUCCUGGGCGCGAUGUUUCAGGUAACUCGGGCAAAGCACGCAUGCUGCUGUGGCUCUGUGGUCAGCCCAUGACGAGAGCCUCGUCCACGUUCCGUGAAAUCUGUGAGUGCUGCCCGAGUCGAGCUACCGUUGCUCACCACCGCCACUUCCUGUCUUCCUACCCAGCGCCGCGGCUCUCGGAGGCUGCCAGUGGCUGGGUGCGCCUGGCCUGAGUCCUCCACCCGAAGAAAAUAAGGAACCUGGCCAGAGAGAGGCAAAAGGAAGAGUCUGCUCCUCAUGUUCCUUCUUGCUGUGGUUUUACCCUCGCCACUUAUUUCGUGGUCAUUCAUUGCUAUGCUGUGAAGAGUAAGAGGAAGUAUUCUGAAAAGUGCAAGGUCUUAUACUGAGAAAGGCACAGAAGCAACACUGCAAAUAUCACAAAUCUCCAGCACCGUAUGCUGUUACUCUGAGCUGGAUUUUUUGUUCUUUUGUUUGCAUAGAUUAUUCUGCUUUUAAUCUUCAAAAUCUGCGCAUGAAAGGGGACUGCACAGAAUUUUUUUUUUCUUUUUGAGAUGGAAUCUCAUUCUGUCUGUCACUCAGGCUGGUGUGUG